UCGUAGUGAACCUGCGGAAGGAUAU
This 25-nucleotide ribosomal RNA is filed under the name Ourisia integrifolia. Its description in RNAcentral is "partial 18S ribosomal RNA". Lineage: Eukaryota; Viridiplantae; Streptophyta; Magnoliopsida; Lamiales; Plantaginaceae. The record is from RNAcentral.